Long non-coding RNA from Strigops habroptila (Kakapo), 2458 nucleotides. The record is from Ensembl. Lineage: Eukaryota; Metazoa; Chordata; Aves; Psittaciformes; Psittacidae.
UUCAUUCUUUGCAUUUAGACUUUAUUAUAUGAGGUCUGCACGUUGAGUUCAACUGAGGACAAACCGACUGGCAGACAUUACUUCACAGUUAAAUGGGACUGCUCCACUGUUGUUGAACCAGGAAAGCGUAAAACCGGAGUCCACAUAAUAGAAUUAGUAUGCAAUUUAGCAGUGUUCCAGGAUGAAAUGGCUUUAUGGUCUCUAAUACUGGCGCAAUGCUUACACAUCAAACUCACGGCACUCUUACCAAGCAUAAUCCCAACUCUACAAUUGGAUCUAUUCAGGCCAGUUUCACACAGAUGAAGUCCCAAAAGACUUUAUCAGACCUUUGUGAAUGUCCAUCUGGCAGCAGCCUAGAUAUGAAUAUGACACAAAACUGAUACAAAGGAGAGAAUGCUUCCCAAGCAGCGGCUGGGGGGAGGAGGUGAAGAGAAAAGAUAAAAGGAAAUGUCAUUGGGAUAAUCAGAGAAAAUCAGAAAAGGAAGGAGGUGUAAAGGCUAAAACACAUACUCAGCACUUAUAUUAUGGAAUUUUAAGUCACAUGUUCAGAUUUCAUUUAUUUUACUGGACUCUGGUGCAACUUACAAUGCAUGUCUAAAAUUAUCUGCACUUCUGUCAACAGUUUUGGUCCUAGUAUCAGGCAAAAACUAGCACCCAGUUGCAAAGUCCAAGUAUCCAAUUGCAAAAUCUGCUUCCAGCCACAUUCCAAGGCAAGUAUCUUGCCUCUAAUAGAUGAUUUCUAAAGAUAUGUCACCACUUCGAAUAGCAACAAAUUUACAAUUGCAAAUACAACUGACCUUUUAGCAUUUCCAUAAUCAGGAUAUGAAUUGUGAAGCCUAUGCCUUCUAACCAUCUAAACUUGAUUCAUCCUCAGUCAAAUCCUAAACCCUAUUCCAAACUUAAUUCAGACCAUACUAUCUUAAUUUCUUUUAAAACUCAAAACAAGACCUGUAGUAAAACAGGUCAUUCUUACAAAUUUCCUGCUAAUACUAGCAAUCCACGGAGUACGUUUAAUCCAUGAGACCUUUAGUCUCUCCCUAGGAUGAGUCUUCAUUAUUCAGGCAGAGGACAGGUGUGCCAAACAAUGAACCACAGAAAUCAGGUCCAUAAUUGCCAUUAGACAAAAGAAAAGUUUUUGACACAUUUUAUGUUCCCAAUAAUGCAUUGCCAUUGUCAGAAUUUUCUCUUAUAUAAAGAUGCUUUAUCUAAAAUCUAAAAAUAGAAAUGGUAAGGCUCAGGAAAUAGUAUAAUAAUCAAAAGAAGCCUCAUCCUUUUACAACUUUGGCCUUUUACAUCUUGUGAGAAAUGUUAACACUGGUUACAAAACUAAAAUAAAAAAUAAAGUGUUCCCUAAAUUCUUGUCCUAGAGUUGGACUUUAGUAUAGAAUUUAUAUAAAUGUAGCUUAAGGACCAAGAUACACUAUCUUUUAAGAAACUUUACAGGUUUUUUUCACCUAUCCUUGCCCACUCAUUCCAAAGAAUCUAUUUUAAUUUAAUCAAUCAGAAAUGUUACUCAUUUAUUAUUCAUUUAUCCCAGUAAAAGCAAUAUUAAAAUAUGUAUUUAAUGGAAAAUUAAGCUUUUAAAACCAAAUUUUAGUACUGAUAACGUGCAUAACACUGUUGAAACUUUGUAAGCUCUCUACAUUCCCAUUUGAUCUCUUGAGAAAGAGAUGAACUCAGCACCAGCCCUGAAAAAUCACGUACAUGCUCACACAAAUAUGGAAGCCUUGAGAUAAAACUGAAAAUUAUAUUUUAGGAAAACUUACGACAAAUUUGGAGCUAUAAUGUCAUAAAUCAACUAAGAUUAUGUGAACAUUUCUAUCUAAUUUGGUCAGCGAGGUAAAUUUAUAAAGCUUCCACAAGCAUGGUGGAGAUUUGGAAUGGAGUAUGCUGCAUUAAUUAUUUAACUUAAUAUGACAACAAAUGAAGCAAUAUAGUAAAAGUAAAGCAGCCCUCAGAUAACUGAAGAGACAACUGCAAUACAAUAGCCACAAGCUGAAGAGACACAGUCUAUCAAUACUAGCAACAGACCAACCAGAAAAAAACUGAAAUGAUAACAAGACUUUUCUUCCAGAGAAAGUCUUAAUCACUGCAGUAGAAAACACUUUUUUUCUGUGGAGGAGUCCAAAAGAGCUGGAUUUGUUCCCAAAUUCAGGAAAUAGUGAACUUUAAUAGAACAACGGACAAACUAACUCACUGAGGUUCAACUUUAUAAGCUGUAACAAUGCAGAAGGUAUUAAUUUACAGCAUACUUACACUAAACACCACUCCCAUCAAUAUUUUAACAGUUGUCAUCAAGCAAACAGUAAAAUCAGAGCCUCAUUACACUGAAAGAUGUGAAGCUGUUAACACACAUCUUAGUAAGAAGUUGCAUUUCAGAAUCAAACACCCUAAGGCUUUGAUUUGAAAUUGCCCACACUUGUUGUCUCUCAGGACAUAGUUCAGUAACCAUUUUCCC